CCGCAUAAAAUGGAUUAUCGCAUGAUAAUCCAUUGAAAGGUGCAAAUGCAUCACUACCAGAUGGACCUGCGUUGUAUUAGCUAGUUGGUGGGGUAACGGCUCACCAAGGCGACGAUACAUAGCCGACCUGAGAGGGUGAUCGCCCACACUGGGACUGAGACACGGCCCAGACUCCUACGGGAGGCAGCAGUAGGGAAUCUUCGGCAAUGGACGGAAGUCUGACCGAGCAACGCCGCGUGAGUGAAGAAGGUUUUCGGAUCGUAAAGCUCUGUUGUAAGAGAAGAACGAGUGUGAGAAGUGGAAAGUUCACAC
Molecule: ribosomal RNA, 312 nt
Filed under: Streptococcus sp. oral taxon 071
Lineage: Bacteria; Bacillati; Bacillota; Bacilli; Lactobacillales; Streptococcaceae
Description: bacterial SSU rRNA
Rfam family: Bacterial small subunit ribosomal RNA
Source: RNAcentral